Molecule: long non-coding RNA, 1920 nt
Organism: Neofelis nebulosa (Clouded leopard)
Lineage: Eukaryota; Metazoa; Chordata; Mammalia; Carnivora; Felidae
Exons: 3
Source: RefSeq, a predicted model, not a curated record
CUGGGGAAGGUUGAGCAGAGAUGUUAUCUGAUGCACACGUUAAAGGCUCACUCUGGCUGUGGUUUGCAGGCAGGACAGAGAAGCGGCUGCUCUAACUGUCCAGGCGAGAGCUGGCGGUGACUUGGGCCAGGGUGGCAGCAGGAGGGGGUGGGAAUUCUGGCUGGAUUCUGGGCAGAGUUUUAAAGCUGUGCCAACAAGGAGGCAGGGUCUCUAAGCCGAGGAACGAACAGUCCGGGAGCUGCUAGAAGUCACCUGUACCACCUUCUUCGCGGUGGGGAAAGGCUUUCGAGAUACCUCGACGGCUCACCGCUAGCCACUCGACUUUCUUGGCUCCCGGGCAGGUGAAAUGGCCACGCGACCCACUCCCGGUCGGUGGGAGGAAAUGGUGAGUCUCCCGGCAGCUUCUGGGAAAAGGUCGGCUUCCCGGGGAAGAAGCUAGAGCGUCUCCAGGAGAAAGCGUUCGGCCCCUGCCUCUGGCUUUCCCAGUUUGCACACGGUGUGGCCAUGUGACGCCUGGAGCUGCGGUGACCGAGCAGCGGCAAGGGUGAUAAGGAAGAGCCAUCGCGCUGAGAACGGCGGAGCGGAAGGGUGGGAAGGGUCUGAGGGAAGGGUCUGCCGUGGCUGGGCCGCGGGAGGAGCCCCAGAACUGCUGCUUCCAGACGACUUCCUAAGUAAACAAUCCGCGUCCGUCUGGUUUCAGCAACUGUUCAUCCAGCGUCCGGCCGGUCACAGGCCCAAGGCUUCCUGACUAAUGCUCCCGCCACACCACCCCCUGGACCCAUUCAGACGUUCAGCAGACAUUUAAUCCAACGUUUCCUGAGUAUCCCCUGCACGCUGGCAUUUUAUCACGUCUGAUCUAACCCACCCAACAACUUUGGAACAUUCCCAUUGUCCCCGUUUGAGAGAUGAGGAAUGUGGGUACAUCGUAGCGAUUCUUGUCUGCUGUAGCAGAGAAAAACAAACCGUGCGGCUUCAUGCCAUAGAAGCGUAUUUUUUUUUUUCCCCUUUAAUAAAUCUUUUAAGUUUAUUUAUUUAUUUUGAGAAAGAGAGAGAACGGGAGCUGGGGAGGGGCAGAGAGAGAGAGAGAGAGAGAAGGAAUCCCAAGCAGCGUCCAUGCUGUUAGCACUGAACCCGACGCAGGGCUCAAUCUCACAGCUGUGAGAUCAUGACACGACCUGAAAUCAAGAGUCAGAUGCUUUACCGACUGAGCCACCCAGGCGUCCCUCGGCCACCUUCAAAGUGUGGCUCCUAAGUCAUCCCGGAUGCCAACAUCUGAUGGGCAGACAUGGGCAGAACACGGGUGGAGGGUCACACAGAGGCCUCACGGUCCUGAGCUGGGUGGGAUGGGCAUCCCUUCUGCCCACACGUGUUCACUAGCUGCACCCCCGAGCAUAGGAGGCUGGAACAUGGUGUCCAGCUACUUCUGCGGGCCCAAGAGGGGAGGGAUGAGGGUCUGCUGGGCAGUUUGUCAGUCCCUGCUAGGUGGGGCUCAGGGGGACUGUGUAACUCACCCAGGAGACUCUCAGAUGAGCCAGAGGGGAGGGGGAGACCGCGCCUGCUUUGUGUCCUCAGGUGUCCAGAAGUCCAGGGCUGCUGGCUAAGCCAGGCACGGCCCCGGGACCAGUCGUCAGCAAAUAGGGAUGCCCUUUCUAGCCUGGAAUAUUGGGGGCAUAUUCUUCCUCCCGCCUUUACUCAUCUCCAGGCAGAGAUGAGUAACAUUUUACAGCCUGUGGUUAGCACUUCCGUUCUACAUGCUUGACUUACAGAGGCAAGGCUGUCUGCAGUAGACUGGAGAAGACAGGACGGGGAAAUGGGAUCCAGGUCUGGCGCCGGGGGCAGGCCCUCAGUUUCCCUGUCUUCAAAGGGCACUGAUUCUUCGUCCCUCACUGUUGCUGGGGCCGGUGGUGAGGCAGUUAGUGC